AAUAAAUGCAAGUAAAAUUUAUUAUUUUAAGUUAAAAUGUUGAUUUAAUUUAUAAUUUAAUUUAUUAGGUUAAAUUUUAAAUUAAAAAAAUUAUUAAAAAAAAGUUUAUUUUAAGCUUGUAAAUUUUAUUAAUAAACUAGGAUUAGAUACCCUAUUAUAAAAAAUGUAAAUAUAAAAAAUAGAGUAGUAUUAGUUAUAUUCUUAAAACUUAAUAAAUUUGGCGGUAUUUUAAUCUAUUCAGAGGAACUUGUUUUAUAAUUGAUAAUCCUCGUUUAAUCUUACUUAAUUUAAUUAAUUUGUAUACCAUCGUCAUAAGAAUCUCUUAAAAAAGAAAAAAUUUUCUUAAUAAAUAAUUAUUUAAUAUGUCAGAUCAAGGUGCAGUUUAUAAUUAAGGAAAAAUGAGUUACAAUAAAUUUAUUUAAACGAAUUUUAAGAUUUAAUUCUUUUAUGAAGGUGGAUUUGAUAGUAAAAUAAAUAAAAGAGUUUAUUUGAUAUUAGUUCUAAAAUAUGCACAUAUCGCCCGUCGCUCUCGUUAUUUAAAAUGAG
RNAcentral lists this ribosomal RNA (546 nucleotides) under Synplasta exclusa. Its description in RNAcentral is "partial 12S ribosomal RNA". The record is from RNAcentral. Lineage: Eukaryota; Metazoa; Arthropoda; Insecta; Diptera; Mycetophilidae.